Scleropages formosus (Asian bonytongue) is the source of this 2364-nucleotide long non-coding RNA. The record is from Ensembl. Lineage: Eukaryota; Metazoa; Chordata; Actinopteri; Osteoglossiformes; Osteoglossidae.
AUGACCGGUACGUUUGCCAUCCUGCCAAGCGCAUGUGGACUGGACGUCCAGCUGGAGAGGUCGGCUCACCGGCUGUUGGACAGCAUCCUUCUGGACUGGAAGGGACAGGGAACAACCGAGAAGGUGAGGGCGCUGUGCUCUCGGACCAGAGACGACGAGCUCUGGGAGGGCAGGGUGGAGCUGAGGCAGCCUUUUACCCCGCCCCUUUCGCAUCUUCACCUCCGCGCACUCUCGCACACGCGCGCUGGAGGGCAGGGGAGCAGCCACCAGGCUUGGCUGUCCUGGAAUGACGGAAAGCCCAUGAAUGUUACUGUCACGGUGAACAGACAAUGGCAAGGCUCGUCCACCAGGGGGCAGGCUUGUCUUUCCAUGUCUCCUGGCCAGUCUUGGGCUGUGUCUGGGUACCACCGCGUCGGCACAGGCCAGGAGCUGCUCUACUCCCAGACGCGUCUCUCGGUGUCCGGUCAGUCCCAGUACAGCGGUCUGACCGUGGUCCUGACGAACACCUCCAUGCCUCUGCGCACCAACUUUUCCUUCCACACCGAGUUACAAGUUGGCGAUGGGGCUUUGGAGCUCGGGGGAAGUGUGUUCUCCUCCCGCCGGGGGGGUGGGCUUCAGGUGGGGGCUGUGCUCGACCGCAGCGAGCGCCUCUGGCUGCAGGGGGCGCUGGAGGGUCGCUGUGUGCAAGCAGCUGCAGGAUACAAUGACGGCGUACUGUCAGAUGACAACCUGACGGUGGCACUGUGUCUCGAGGGGCGUCGACACGUAAUACUGGAGGUCCAAAGGACAGAGGACGGAGUCAAGCCAGAGUCGCUGGCAUCCAUCUCUUUGAGGGCGGCCAAUCAAAGCCUGACGUUCACUGCACAAGCCUGCAUGGAAAGCCUGCAGGCAGCAGAGGCGAGAGCGUGUCUUCUGGGCUCACGUGUGAGGAAUAAACUGCUGGACAAAAUUCGAGUCCUGCAGCGCCUCCUGCUGGAGAUCAGACGCCAGGACAACGCUCUGCUGUGGGAGAUGAGCGAGAGGCCCCUGCGUUGGGCCCAGAAGGCCGAGGCGCUGCUGGUGCAGAGGGUCGCGGGAGCCUGGGCCGCGUGGAGGAAAGGCGUCCUGCGGCACUCCCUCACUAACCGCUUACCGCGGUGCCUCGAGUCCCUGCGCCACCUGUCCCAGCAGCUGCAGCAGGAGCUCAAGAGGCCGCUGGCCACCCUGGCGGGGGCCUACCAGGACGCGACCGGCCGACGGCUCGACGCCACUUGGAAAGAGACGGUGGUGCUUUGGUCUCGAAAGCUGGCGGAGCAACUGCCUGCAGUUCUGGAGGAGCACCAGCUGGGGGCGCCGCUGAGAGCGGCGCUGGGGGCGCUCACUGCCGCACUGGACCUGGUGAGUCAGCAGAUGGCACAGUGGGCGGAGUCCAGGUUGGGGGCGGCCCUCGUAGGGAUCAGAAGACGACUGGCAUCUCUCUACAAACUGUCACACGGCCGCUGCGAGGUGAGUGUCCAGCUGCCGUUACCGAGGGGCGCCUGGUCGGACGUGGGCGGGGCCGGGAUGGUGGAGUUCCUGCUGGACGAGUGGCUCCUGCGGCCCAUGGUGACCGUGGCAUCCCUGCGACCCGCCGCCGAGCUCUACCGCCUCAAGAGGAGGAUGAUGGAGAGUCCCUUCAACCACCAGGCUCUGCUGGUGUCUGACCAGUUCGCCCUGUCCUUCGACGGGCGCCUCUACGAGCUUCCCGGCCGCUGCCCCCUCCUCCUGGCCCGGGACCUCAUGGGCGGCUCCUUCACCAUGGUGCUCAGCCCCAAUACAGCGCCAGAGCGCACCCUGCUGGUGGAGAUGAGCAACACGACCGUGAGCAUUUCGCCCCACGGCCAGGUGGAGAUGAACUGCCGUGAGACAGACGAGAGCUUCAGUGACAGCGGCGUGUCGGUUAGGAGAGAUGGGGUACUCAUCCAAGUCUCCAAUCAGAACGGAGCGCUGCUGUCAUGUGACCUGUCGCAGGAGGUCUGCAGUUUGACGCUGGAUGGAUGGCAACAUGGUGUGUCUAUGGGGCUCCUGGGGACCAAUGACAAUGAAGCAGGAAAUGAGCUCACCCUCCCCGACGGCUCCCAGGCGGAUGGCGAGGACCACUUCCUCCAGAGCUGGCAGCUGAAGCCACACUGCCGCCGAGGCCCUUGUUCCAAUACCUCCAAGGCCGAAGCGACCUCCGACCUCCUCAGCUGCGCCUCCCUCUUCUCGGAUCUGGACUCCCCCCUCGGCUCAUGCUUCCGGGUGGUGAGUCACGCCCCACGCACACACACACACACACACACACACACACACACACUCACACGCACUCCAUAUUCUUCUUUCUGUUUUUUCUGGUUUUUCCCAUAA